GGGCCCGCACAAGCGGUGGAGCAUGUGGUUUAAUUCGAUGAUACGCGAGGAACCUUACCAGGGCUUAAAUGUAGUCUGACAGCUUUAGAGAUAGAGUUUUCUUCGGACAGAUUACAAGGUGCUGCAUGGUUGUCGUCAGCUCGUGCCGUGAGGUGUCAGGUUAAGUCCUAUAACGAGCGCAACCCCUGUCGUUAGUUGCCAGCAUGUCAUGAUGGGGACUCUAACGAGACUGCCGGUGCAAACCGUGAGGAAGGUGGGGAUGACGUCAAAUCAUCACGGCCCUUACGUCCUGGGCCACACACGUGCUACAAUGGCCAGUACAGAGAGCAGCCAAUGCGCAAGCAUGAGCGAAUCUACAAAGCUGGUCACAGUUCGGAUCGGAGUCUGCAACUCGACUCCGUG
Molecule: ribosomal RNA, 402 nt
Filed under: uncultured bacterium
Lineage: Bacteria
Description: bacterial SSU rRNA
Rfam family: Bacterial small subunit ribosomal RNA
Source: RNAcentral